UUGCUUGCUUCGGCAGCACAUAUACUAAAAUUGGAACAAUACAGAGAAGAUUAACAUAGCCCUCAUACAAGGAUGACAUGCAAAUUCGUGAAGUGUUCCUUAUUAAA
Heterocephalus glaber (naked mole-rat) is the source of this 107-nucleotide small nuclear RNA. Lineage: Eukaryota; Metazoa; Chordata; Mammalia; Rodentia; Bathyergidae. The record is from Ensembl.